This 1556-nucleotide ribosomal RNA is filed under the name Escherichia coli. RNAcentral describes it as "bacterial SSU rRNA". It matches the Rfam family "Bacterial small subunit ribosomal RNA". Lineage: Bacteria; Pseudomonadati; Pseudomonadota; Gammaproteobacteria; Enterobacterales; Enterobacteriaceae. The record is from RNAcentral.
UUAAAUUGAAGAGUUUGAUCAUGGCUCAGAUUGAACGCUGGCGGCAGGCCUAACACAUGCAAGUCGAACGGUAACAGGAAGAAGCUUGCUGCUUUGCUGACGAGUGGCGGACGGGUGAGUAAUGUCUGGGAAACUGCCUGAUGGAGGGGGAUAACUACUGGAAACGGUAGCUAAUACCGCAUAACGUCGCAAGACCAAAGAGGGGGACCUUCGGGCCUCUUGCCAUCGGAUGUGCCCAGAUGGGAUUAGCUAGUAGGUGGGGUAACGGCUCACCUAGGCGACGAUCCCUAGCUGGUCUGAGAGGAUGACCAGCCACACUGGAACUGAGACACGGUCCAGACUCCUACGGGAGGCAGCAGUGGGGAAUAUUGCACAAUGGGCGCAAGCCUGAUGCAGCCAUGCCGCGUGUAUGAAGAAGGCCUUCGGGUUGUAAAGUACUUUCAGCGGGGAGGAAGGGAGUAAAGUUAAUACCUUUGCUCAUUGACGUUACCCGCAGAAGAAGCACCGGCUAACUCCGUGCCAGCAGCCGCGGUAAUACGGAGGGUGCAAGCGUUAAUCGGAAUUACUGGGCGUAAAGCGCACGCAGGCGGUUUGUUAAGUCAGAUGUGAAAUCCCCGGGCUCAACCUGGGAACUGCAUCUGAUACUGGCAAGCUUGAGUCUCGUAGAGGGGGGUAGAAUUCCAGGUGUAGCGGUGAAAUGCGUAGAGAUCUGGAGGAAUACCGGUGGCGAAGGCGGCCCCCUGGACGAAGACUGACGCUCAGGUGCGAAAGCGUGGGGAGCAAACAGGAUUAGAUACCCUGGUAGUCCACGCCGUAAACGAUGUCGACUUGGAGGUUGUGCCCUUGAGGCGUGGCUUCCGGAGCUAACGCGUUAAGUCGACCGCCUGGGGAGUACGGCCGCAAGGUUAAAACUCAAAUGAAUUGACGGGGGCCCGCACAAGCGGUGGAGCAUGUGGUUUAAUUCGAUGCAACGCGAAGAACCUUACCUGGUCUUGACAUCCACGGAAGUUUUCAGAGAUGAGAAUGUGCCUUCGGGAACCGUGAGACAGGUGCUGCAUGGCUGUCGUCAGCUCGUGUUGUGAAAUGUUGGGUUAAGUCCCGCAACGAGCGCAACCCUUAUCCUUUGUUGCCAGCGGUCCGGCCGGGAACUCAAAGGAGACUGCCAGUGAUAAACUGGAGGAAGGUGGGGAUGACGUCAAGUCAUCAUGGCCCUUACGACCAGGGCUACACACGUGCUACAAUGGCGCAUACAAAGAGAAGCGACCUCGCGAGAGCAAGCGGACCUCAUAAAGUGCGUCGUAGUCCGGAUUGGAGUCUGCAACUCGACUCCAUGAAGUCGGAAUCGCUAGUAAUCGUGGAUCAGAAUGCCACGGUGAAUACGUUCCCGGGCCUUGUACACACCGCCCGUCACACCAUGGGAGUGGGUUGCAAAAGAAGUAGGUAGCUUAACCUUCGGGAGGGCGCUUACCACUUUGUGAUUCAUGACUGGGGUGAAGUCGUAACAAGGUAACCGUAGGGGAACCUGCGGUUGGAUCACCUCCUUACCUUAAAGAAGC